GAGUUUGAUCAUGGCUCAGGAUGAACGCCGGCGGUGUGCCUAAUACAUGCAAGUCGAACGCGUUGGCCCAAUUGAUUGAUGGUGCUUGCACCUGAUUGAUUUUGGUCGCCAACGAGUGGCGGACGGGUGAGUAACACGUAGGUAACCUGCCCAGAAGCGGGGGACAACAUUUGGAAACAGAUGCUAAUACCGCAUAACAGCGUUGUUCGCAUGAACAACGCUUAAAAGAUGGCUUCUCGCUAUCACUUCUGGAUGGACCUGCGGUGCAUUAGCUUGUUGGUGGGGUAACGGCCUACCAAGGCGAUGAUGCAUAGCCGAGUUGAGAGACUGAUCGGCCACAAUGGGACUGAGACACGGCCCAUACUCCUACGGGAGGCAGCAGUAGGGAAUCUUCCACAAUGGGCGCAAGCCUGAUGGAGCAACACCGCGUGAGUGAAGAAGGGUUUCGGCUCGUAAAGCUCUGUUGUUAAAGAAGAACACGUAUGAGAGUAACUGUUCAUACGUUGACGGUAUUUAACCAGAAAGUCACGGCUAACUACGUGCCAGCAGCCGCGGUAAUACGUAGGUGGCAAGCGUUAUCCGGAUUUAUUGGGCGUAAAGAGAGUGCAGGCGGUUUUCUAAGUCUGAUGUGAAAGCCUUCGGCUUAACCGGAGAAGUGCAUCGGAAACUGGAUAACUUGAGUGCAGAAGAGGGUAGUGGAACUCCAUGUGUAGCGGUGGAAUGCGUAGAUAUAUGGAAGAACACCAGUGGCGAAGGCGGCUACCUGGUCUGCAACUGACGCUGAGACUCGAAAGCAUGGGUAGCGAACAGGAUUAGAUACCCUGGUAGUCCAUGCCGUAAACGAUGAGUGCUAGGUGUUGGAGGGUUUCCGCCCUUCAGUGCCGGAGCUAACGCAUUAAGCACUCCGCCUGGGGAGUACGACCGCAAGGUUGAAACUCAAAGGAAUUGACGGGGGCCCGCACAAGCGGUGGAGCAUGUGGUUUAAUUCGAAGCUACGCGAAGAACCUUACCAGGUCUUGACAUCUUGCGCCAACCCUAGAGAUAGGGCGUUUCCUUCGGGAACGCAAUGACAGGUGGUGCAUGGUCGUCGUCAGCUCGUGUCGUGAGAUGUUGGGUUAAGUCCCGCAACGAGCGCAACCCUUGUUACUAGUUGCCAGCAUUAAGUUGGGCACUCUAGUGAGACUGCCAGUGACAAACCGGAGGAAGGUGGGGACGACGUCAGAUCAUCAUGCCCCUUAUGACCUGGGCUACACACGUGCUACAAUGGACAGUACAACGAGUCGCGAACUCGCGAGGGCAAGCAAAUCUCUUAAAACCGUUCCCAGUUCGGACUGCAGGCUGCAACUCGCCUGCACGAAGUCGGAAUCGCUAGUAAUCGCGGAUCAGCAUGCCGCGGUGAAUACGUUCCCGGGCCUUGUACACACCGCCCGUCACACCAUGAGAGUUUGUAACACCCAAAGUCGGUGGGGUAACCUUUUAGGAGCCAGCCGCCUAAGGUGGGACAGAUGAUUAGGGUGAAGUCGUAACAAGGUAACC
RNAcentral lists this ribosomal RNA (1536 nucleotides) under Limosilactobacillus fermentum. Its description in RNAcentral is "bacterial SSU rRNA". It matches the Rfam family "Bacterial small subunit ribosomal RNA". Lineage: Bacteria; Bacillati; Bacillota; Bacilli; Lactobacillales; Lactobacillaceae. The record is from RNAcentral.